Limulus polyphemus (Atlantic horseshoe crab) is the source of this 2507-nucleotide long non-coding RNA. RefSeq lists it as uncharacterized. The transcript has 4 exons. The record is from RefSeq and is a predicted model, not a curated record. Lineage: Eukaryota; Metazoa; Arthropoda; Merostomata; Xiphosura; Limulidae.
AUUCACAGGAAUUAAGAAUAGAAUGUCUGAACUAUGUGAAAAGAGAAUGAUCAUUCCUAAACCAUUCUAUUUUUAUAAAACUAGAACCCCAGGAAUUUGGUUAUUUAACGUUAAAGAUGAACUUUCUCAGUUGUAUGUCCAAAGUCAAACGUACAUCAGUUUGAUUACUAUACUAGAGUAAUUAAGUUAAACAAUAGUGGUUAGCCAAAAUUAGCUAGAAACUGUUCAGCUCAUGGUCAAGGUAUAACCUUGCCUUCUAACAUUAGAAGUGAAACUAAGUAUAUAGGGACUAGACUAAAUAUAAGGAUUCCAGAAUUACAAACAAAAAAGGAAUUACAGUUAAUUCAGAGUAUAGAUACAGAUAUUAAAGGAUUAAAAUAUUUACUAGAGGACACUAAACAUUUACCUCUUAGAAAGUCAGGGUUAAGUCUUAAGGAUUUCCAGCAGCAUGUAGACCGAUUACGAGCUACAGCUGGAAAACAGAAGUUAGAUAACUGGAGAUUAUCUAACUCGAUGAUGAUAACCUUAUGCUUGGUAGUAAUACUAGUAAGCAUAAUAUUGUAUACCAAAAGAGAUAAAUUGGCUUUAGUAAAGUUAAUGGCAUUAGAUGGGCUAUGUAAAGCUAGAAAGAAGAAAAGAACAAGAACAGAAGCUACUGAAAUAGUAGAACUGAAUGAGUAGGCCCCAUCUAAUCAGGAUAUAGCUUGAUUAUUUAGUUGAUUACAAAAUUAUCUAGAUAUAACCAAUUGGCGAGGUUAGUUUGAUUCUAAAAGAUGAUAAUAGUCAAAUUAUAGUCAAAAUUAUUAGGCAUAGAAAGUGCGAGAAAGACAAAAAUAGACAAUAACUGGAAAUAAGAAGAAUUUGAGAAAGGACAGAAAUAACAGACAGUGACCAGAAGUAAGAGACAAACGAAACUUAUGACCAGUAGACGAAAAUAGACAGUACAACGAAUCCAGAAAUUAACUGAACGCAAGGACAGGAACUUCUAUCAACAGAUGUCAAGUAUUAAGAGUGUGUUAGUGAAUUGAAGUGUUGUGAAUAGAGUGAUUGAAGUGAUUUGAAUAACAAGUGCGAACAGAAAGCCAGAUGUAUUAGAAGGGCGGGUGUGUGACUAUGAUGAACAAAAGAGCGAGUGAAGUGACUGUAUAAGCCUUCACUGGGACAAACAAUAAUACCGUUCUUAUAAUAAUCAUAGGAAACAAAGACAAAGAGCUGCCAUCGUAGAAAUGGAAGGUUUUCGGAUCAACGGGCUGUACCUGAUCAAAGAAUUAGCUGUAAGAGACUGCCGAUCAGGUUGGACUGACGUUUAAUGCUUCAGGCCCCCAUACCCGGAAGAUCGUCCGAGCGACGCAGACAAGAGGCACGUCCUAUGGUGUACUGUAUAUCUCCAUGGUCUCCGUUGGAAUGAUGGCGAUCACACUAUGCUGGACUUCCUACGGAUUCGCCAGGGGAUAAGACAGGACUAUGUUAAGAUCUACACCAAAGAUACUAUCUAAUUAUGAGCAUGGCUGUUCGUUACAAAUGUGGACUCUGUACUCCCGUUGUUCUGUGCUCAGAAAGUAAGAAUUAUGGAACAGUUUUCUAUGUGGCUGAUUAUUGAAGUGGUUUAGAGAUGGACAAUAAUAGAAAAUUGGAAACUUGAUAAAGCGAUGGUGAGAGAAGGUACAUCACAUGUAAUGACUUCAUAUUCCAGGUACAUCACCUUUAAUGACUUCAUAUCCCAGCUACAUCACCUGUAAUGACUUCAUAUUCCAGCUAUAUCACCUGUAAUGACUUCAUAUCCCAGCUACAUCACCUGUAAUGACUUCAUAUCCCAGCUACAUCACCUAUAAUGACUUCAUAUCCCAGCUACAUCACUUGUAAUGAAGACAUUUUUAGGCAACUAUUUUUUGUUUGCAAAACCCCCAAGUAUCUUGUUAAAAUCUAAGUGAUACACACAACUGUCCAAUUUAGUACUUUUAGCAAACAUCUAUUAAAUUAUGUGAGAUUUAUAAAUGUUCCCUCAAAUCACUAUUAGGUUUUUUAUCUGUCAUUAAUUUUCUACACAAAAAUUUAGACCUAAAAAUUUUAGAGAUUCUGGCUGAAAGAAGUAGAAUUAUGAUUUGACUUGCAUUGCUGGUCAAAUGUUAUCAAAACUGUAUGCUAACAUAUGAAUUAUUUGCAUAAGUGGAACAAUGCAGCCUUCCUAUUUUUAACAUGUUUAAUAUAAAAUUUUAAGGACUAAACAAAAGUUAAAAUUCUUAACCAUCAAAUAGUGUAGUGGUUCUUUCCAUUUCUGCAUGUACUACUUUUGUGAUGUGUAAACCUAGUAUGUGUUUGGCCAGUAAAGUAGUAAUUUUUAAUGUAUGUUUGGCCAGUAAAGUAGUAAUUUUUAAUGUAUGUUUGGCCAGUAAAGUAGUAAUUUUUAAUGUAUGUUUGGCCAGUAAAGUAGUAAUUUUUAAUGUGUGUUUGGCUAGUAAAGUAGUAAUUUGUAAUGUAUGUUUGGUCAGUAAAGUAGUAAUUUUUAA